CCUACGGGUGGCUGCAGUGGGGAAUAUUGGUCAAUGGGCGUAAGCCUGAACCAGCCAAGUCGCGUGAGUGAUGAAGGUUCUAUGGAUCGUAAACCUCUUUUUUAAGGACAUAAUGUGCGGGACGUGUCCCGUUUUGUAUGUACCUUCUGAGUAAGGAUCGGCUAACUCCGUGCCAGCAGCCGCGGUAAUACGGAGGAUCCGAGCGUUAUCCGGCUUUAUUGGGUUUAAAGGGUGCGGAGGCGGGCUUUUAAGUCAUCGGUGAAAGUCUGUGGCUCAACCAUCGAAUUUCCGUUGAAACUGGGUGGCUUGAGUAGGUGUGAGGCAGGCGGAAUGCGUGGUGUAGCGGUGAAAUGCUUAGAUAUCACGCAGAACCCCGAUUGCGAAGGCAGCCUGCCAAGCCAUGACUGACGCUGAGGCACGAAAGCGUGGGGAGCAAACAGGAUUAGAUACCCGAGUAGUC
This 460-nucleotide ribosomal RNA is filed under the name uncultured bacterium. RNAcentral's name for it is "partial 16S ribosomal RNA". It matches the Rfam family "Bacterial small subunit ribosomal RNA", at positions 338 to 795 of the family's 1533-position model. The record is from RNAcentral.